RNAcentral lists this ribosomal RNA (460 nucleotides) under uncultured bacterium. Its description in RNAcentral is "partial 16S ribosomal RNA". It matches the Rfam family "Bacterial small subunit ribosomal RNA", at positions 338 to 795 of the family's 1533-position model. The record is from RNAcentral.
CCUACGGGAGGCAGCAGUGAGGAAUAUUGGUCAAUGGCCGAAAGGCUGAACCAGCCAAGCCGCGUGAGGGAAGAAUGCCCUAUGGAUUGUAAACCUCUUUUGUCGGGGAGCAAAGUGACCCACGCGUGGGUGUCGGAGAGUACCUGAAGAAAAAGCAUCGGCUAACUCCGUGCCAGCAGCCGCGGUAAUACGGAGGAUGCGAGCGUUAUCCGGAUUGAUUGGGUUUAAAGGGUGCGUAGGCGGGUUAUUAAGUCAGCUGUGAAAGUCCGGGGCUCAACCCUGGAAGUGCCGUUGAAACUGGGGGGCUUGAGUGUGUUUGAGGCAGGCGGAAUGCGUGGUGUAGCGGUGAAAUGCAUAGAUAUCACGCAGAACCCCGAUUGCGAAGGCAGCCUGCCGGGCCAUGACUGACGCUGAGGCACGAAAGCGUGGGGAUCAAACAGGAUUAGAUACCCGAGUAGUC